RNAcentral lists this small nuclear RNA (18 nucleotides) under Arabidopsis thaliana (thale cress). RNAcentral's name for it is "snRNA_03262". The record is from RNAcentral. Lineage: Eukaryota; Viridiplantae; Streptophyta; Magnoliopsida; Brassicales; Brassicaceae.
ACCGGGAAGAGCCCAGCU